RNAcentral lists this ribosomal RNA (465 nucleotides) under uncultured bacterium. RNAcentral's name for it is "partial 16S ribosomal RNA". It matches the Rfam family "Bacterial small subunit ribosomal RNA", at positions 28 to 507 of the family's 1533-position model. The record is from RNAcentral.
GACGAACGCUGGCGGCGUGCUUAACACAUGCAAGUCGAACGGAAAGGCCCCUUUGGGGGUACUCGAGUGGCGAACGGGUGAGUAACACGUGAGUAACCUGCCCUUGACUUCGGGAUUACUUCAGGAAACUGGGGCUAAUUCCGGCUAGGAAUCCUUGCUGCAUGGUGGGGGUUGGAAAGCUUCGGCGGUUUUGGAUGGACUGGCGGCGUAUCAGCUUGUUGGUGGGGUAGUGGCUUACCAAGGCUUGGACGGGUAGCCGGCCUGAGAGGGCGACCCGCCACAUUGGGUCUGAGAGACGGCCCAGACUCCUACGGUAGGCAGAUGGGGGGAAGAUUGAACAAUGGGCGGCAGCCGGAUGCAGCAGCGCCGCGUGCGGGAUGACGGCCUUCGGGUUGUAAACCGCUUUCAGCAGGGGCGAAGCUUGUGGUGACGGUACCUGCAGAAGAAGCACCGGCUAACUACGUG